GGACACGUUGAUGAGAGAGAUGCUGUCAGUUCAAACAUUCUUUACUGAAUUUUGGUAAAGAGAUUUAUCGCAUAUGCAGCAUGGGGUACCACAGUAUUUGGCUCAAAACAAGCAUCCCUACGUUGAUAUUUGCUUGCGAUUGAGAAUCUGAUACACCUGCCUUGACACUUUUCUCUGUCUUUGGUGACGGGGGAGUCACUGUGGUGUUUGGCGUUGGAACCAGUGUGGGAGUCACCGGAGCUUUUGGUGCUGGAUUUGGUGAGAGAGACACAGGAGCUUUUGGGGAUGCAUUUGGCGAGGGAGACACCGGAGUUUUUGGUGUUGGAACCUGGUUGUUGGCUUUAGAAAGUCCAAUAUCAUAACUCAUGGUUAAAUCAGGCUUAAAAAGUCCGAAGGAUCGCUCAGAAGUUGGUCCUGGUUUGAGAUCCUCAUCAUAUAUGGCAAAGAGAUAGGUAUCUACUGAUUUGCCAGGCAUCAAAGGAGUACCAACCAUUGACCUCAAGUGAGCAAUCAAAUUGCCAUUGUAAGCCUUUGCAUUCUCAAUACUUGGACCAACUUCAUUGCUGUCUCCCUUAUAAGGCCACCCUGUUUCCGCAAUCACAAUCU
RNAcentral lists this unclassified non-coding RNA (606 nucleotides) under Hevea brasiliensis (rubber tree). Lineage: Eukaryota; Viridiplantae; Streptophyta; Magnoliopsida; Malpighiales; Euphorbiaceae. The record is from RNAcentral.